Molecule: ribosomal RNA, 253 nt
Filed under: uncultured bacterium
Lineage: Bacteria
Description: partial 16S ribosomal RNA
Rfam family: Bacterial small subunit ribosomal RNA
Source: RNAcentral
GACGAACCGUACGAACGUUAUUCGGAAUUACUGGGCUUAAAGGGUUUGUAGGCGGCCUUGUAAGUCAGGUGUGAAAUCCCUCGGCUCAACCGAGGAAUGGCGCUUGAUACUGCAAGGCUUGAGGGAGACAGGGGUAAGCGGAACUGAUGGUGGAGCGGUGAAAUGCGUUGAUAUCAUCAGGAACACCGGUGGCGAAAGCGGCUUACUGGGUCUCUUCUGACGCUGAGGAACGAAAGCUAGGGGAGCGAACGGG